AGAGUUUGAUCCUGGCUCAGAUUGAACGCUGGCGGCAUGCCUAACACAUGCAAGUCGAACGGCAGCACAGUGUGUAGCAAUACACAUGGGUGGCGAGUGGCGGACGGGUGAGUAAUGCUUAGGAAUCUGCCCAAUGGUGGGGGAUAACUAACCGAAAGGUUAGCUAAUACCGCAUACGCCUUUACGGGGAAAGCGGGGGAUCGAAAGACCUCGCGCCGAUGGAUGAGCCUAAGUCCGAUUAGCUAGUUGGUAGGGUAAUGGCCUACCAAGGCGACGAUCGGUAGCUGGUCUGAGAGGACGGCCAGCCACACUGGAACUGAGACACGGUCCAGACUCCUACGGGAGGCAGCAGUGGGGAAUAUUGGACAAUGGGGGAAACCCUGAUCCAGCAAUGCCGCGUGUGUGAAGAAGGCCUGCGGGUUGUAAAGCACUUUCGGUUGGGAAGAAAAGUUUGGCGCUAAUACCGCCGAACCUUGACGUUACUGACAGAAGAAGCACCGGCUAACUCUGUGCCAGCAGCCGCGGUAAUACAGAGGGUGCAAGCGUUAAUCGGAAUCACUGGGCGUAAAGCGUGCGUAGGUGGUCAUGCAAGUCGGGUGUGAAAUCCCCGGGCUUAACCUGGGAACUGCAUUCGAUACUACAUGGCUAGAGUAUGGUAGAGGGAAGUGGAAUUUCCGGUGUAGCGGUGAAAUGCGUAGAUAUCGGAAGGAACACCAAUGGCGAAGGCAGCUUCCUGGACUAAUACUGACACUGAGGCACGAAAGCGUGGGUAGCAAACAGGAUUAGAUACCCUGGUAGUCCACGCCCUAAACGAUGAGAACUAGCCGUUGGGGGAAUUAAAUCUCCUAGUGGCGCAGCUAACGCGUUAAGUUCUCCGCCUGGGGAGUACGGCCGCAAGGUUAAAACUCAAAGGAAUUGACGGGGGCCCGCACAAGCGGUGGAGUAUGUGGUUUAAUUCGAUGCAACGCGAAAAACCUUACCUGGCCUUGACAUCUGUCGAAUCCUGCAGAGAUGCGGGAGUGCCUUCGGGAACGACAAGACAGGUGCUGCAUGGCUGUCGUCAGCUCGUGUCGUGAGAUGUUGGGUUAAGUCCCGCAACGAGCGCAACCCUUGUCCUUAGUUGCCAUCAUUCAGUUGGGAACUCUAAGGAGACCGCCGGUGACAAACCGGAGGAAGGUGGGGAUGACGUCAAGUCAUCAUGGCCCUUAUGGCCAGGGCUACACACGUACUACAAUGGUCGGUACAGAGGGUUGCCAACCCGCGAGGGGGAGCUAAUCCCGUAAAACCGGUCGUAGUCCAGAUUGGAGUCUGCAACUCGACUCCAUGAAGUCGGAAUCGCUAGUAAUCGUGGAUCAGCAUGCCACGGUGAAUACGUUCCCGGGCCUUGUACACACCGCCCGUCACACCAUGGGAGUGGGUUGUACCAGAAGUAGGUAGCCUAACCGCAAGGAGGGCGCUUACCACGGUAUGGCUCAUGACUGGGGUGAAGUCGUAACAAGGUAAC
This 1504-nucleotide ribosomal RNA is filed under the name uncultured bacterium. RNAcentral's name for it is "bacterial SSU rRNA". It matches the Rfam family "Bacterial small subunit ribosomal RNA". The record is from RNAcentral.